GGCAUUCCUGGGUAGCGGGGUGGGGGGAUCCACCCAAUAAUAGAACUAAACUAGGUUCCCUGUAAUCAGCUUAACUAAUAAAAUUUUUGGUAUAGUUUUGUUAGCUUUCUUAGAAAACGUAAUUCUUAUACUCUAUGGGCUGGGGUAAUCUUACACUUAUUCAACAAUCCAAAGUGCUCUAAUUUUUGGUACUAUUAACUACUUAUUCACAGGUAUUCCUGCAUGUCUUUACAAAAUACUGCAUUAACAAACAGCCAGAGAUGGAUACUAGGUUGUCCUCGGUACUUCAAAUACGGAGCUCACAGUCCUUGCCCAUCAGGCUUACUUCACUUUAUUUUUCUUGUACAACCCUAUGUUGUAGCCACCGCUGGAGCCUGGGUCCUCUGCACAGAGACUCUGGUGUGGGUCUUGAGGAGGUGGUCAGUGAAUUCUUGAUAGGGAGACUUGGUGAAUACAGUCUCCUUCCAGAGGUCAGGGGUCAGCCUGCUGUAGGCCUUAGAGAUGGCAUCAAAAAUGACCAUGGUGAAGUUGUGCAGGAUGGCAGUGCAGCCCUUGGCUGAGGUGUAGCAGUCAUCGAUACCAGCCAUCAGCAGCAGCUUCUUGGCCAUGGGGGCCAACGAUGCCAGUGCCCCUGGGUGCAGGGAUGACCUGGGCCAGCACAGAGCCGCUGCAGCCUGUCACCUUGCAAGGGAUGGUGUGGGGCUUGCCAAUCUUGUUUCCCCAGUAGCCUCUGUGCAUGGGCACAACGGAGAGCUUGGCCAGGAUGAUGGCCCCACGGAUGGCAGUGGCCACCUCCUUGGAGCCUAACACCCAGAUCAGUGUGGCCAUUGUGCCCAAUGGCAACAAACGCCUUAAACCUGGUGCGUUGGCCGGUGCGGAUCUGCUUUUGCACUGGCAUGUCUUCAAAACUUCACCCUUGAGAGAGGCCCCAGGGAAAAGUCAAUGAUCACAGACUCCUUGACGGGCGGGGAGAAGAGACAGAUCUCCUCCAGGGACUUCAUCUUCAUGUCCUUGACCAGGUGACCCAGCUUGGUGACAAGCAUCUACUCCUUGGCCCUGGCCUUGCCUCCGGGAGCUCUGCGGCUGGCCCCGACCCACUCCAUGGCCGCGAUCCCAGUUCCCCAUCCCAGGGCCAGCUGCGACCCCAGUUCCCCAUCCCAGGCCCCCUGCUGCACUGGCGUCAUCCGCGAAUGAUGUUUUCUCGGAGAAGAAGCUAAUGUACCUUUUAAACCAGUAAAAGAAAUGUUUAUUUGACAUCUAGUUUAUGAACCUGUAACUUCUAUGAACUCUGUAACUGAAGAUAUUUGUGUUUAUCUUACAUCUUUUAUGUAAAG
Molecule: long non-coding RNA, 1334 nt
Filed under: Piliocolobus tephrosceles (Ugandan red Colobus)
Lineage: Eukaryota; Metazoa; Chordata; Mammalia; Primates; Cercopithecidae
Description: lncRNA (ENSPTEG00000037270.1)
Source: RNAcentral